Molecule: ribosomal RNA, 253 nt
Filed under: uncultured bacterium
Lineage: Bacteria
Description: partial 16S ribosomal RNA
Rfam family: Bacterial small subunit ribosomal RNA
Source: RNAcentral
UACGUAGGCAGCAAGCGUUGUUCGGAGUUACUGGGCGUAAAGGGUGUGUAGGCGGUUUUUUAAGUUUGGUGUGAAAUCUCCCGGCUCAACUGGGAGGGUGCGCCGAAUACUGAAAGACUAGAGUGCGGGAGAGGAAAGUGGAAUUCCUGGUGUAGCGGUGAAAUGCGUAGAUAUCAGGAGGAACACCGGUGGUGUAGACGGCUUUCUGGACCGUAACUGACGCUGAGACACGAAAGCGUGGGUAGCAACCAGG